UUCUUCCUUUAUUCAUGAGUGUUCUUCUCCUCCACGAGUUGACGAUGUGGAUAAACUCUGUGAGAUCUCUGGGAUUAUAUAUAAUACCUCUUCAUGUCCAGUCUGUCACCCGCGAACUGACAAUGUUGAUAACCUCUGUGAAGUCAGUGGGUUAUUGUAUAAUGGUGCUUCAUGUUCAGGUUGUCAUGAUACAUCAUGGCAAUUAUGUGAAAGCUGUGGUGAUCUAUUUAAACCUCCUCCGGAAAAUCAUGUCUGUCAAGCAACGACAUCCCACGCGGGGAAGGAUCACUCGCCAUCCCCUGAAGUGUCCUCGAAGCAAGCACGGAAAACCAACACGUCAGAAGACACUACACACCGUCAGCUACGUUUAAAUUAUGAAGGAAGGAAUAACCAAGUUCUGGGGACUGGCUCGUCAGAACGCCGUGGAGGUGGAGGUGGUGUGCAGCCGUCCCCGACAUAUAUUUCCCGUGAACGUACGUCUCAUCAAGCAGGAUCAAGCAGAAGGUAGAGAAGCGACUCCCCUCAACCCGGUCCUAGUGGGGUACAAAGCAACUCGGUGGUACAAGCAAGUAGUGGGCUGAGAGAUGUAUCAUCUCGGCCCGGACCUAAUGAGGAAGGAAGCGACUCAGUGGC
Molecule: long non-coding RNA, 633 nt
Organism: Eriocheir sinensis (Chinese mitten crab)
Lineage: Eukaryota; Metazoa; Arthropoda; Malacostraca; Decapoda; Varunidae
Exons: 3
Source: RefSeq, a predicted model, not a curated record